UACGGAGGGUGCAAGCGUUACUCGGAAUCACUGGGCGUAAAGAGCGUGUAGGCGGGAUAGCAAGUCUGAUGUGAAAGCCCGGGGCUCAACCCCGGGACUGCAUUGGAAACUGUCGCGCUCGAGUGUCGGAGAGGUAAGUGGAAUUCCUAGUGUAGCGGUGAAAUGCGUAGAUAUUAGGAGGAACACCAGUGGCGAAGGCGGCUUACUGGACGACAACUGACGCUGAGGCUCGAAAGCGUGGGGAGCAAACAGG
Molecule: ribosomal RNA, 253 nt
Filed under: uncultured Lachnospiraceae bacterium
Lineage: Bacteria; Bacillati; Bacillota; Clostridia; Lachnospirales; Lachnospiraceae
Description: partial 16S ribosomal RNA
Rfam family: Bacterial small subunit ribosomal RNA
Source: RNAcentral